CUUAUUUUCACAUCUUUAUUCCUCUGACACAAAUCGUAGCACAGUGUAUACUGCUUUCUAAAAAUAUGAUUUCUUAUUGUAUUAAAAUUGUUAAUGUGCUUUGGAAGUUGCCUAUCAUUCUUGUCCUUUUCCUGUCUGCUUUGCAGGAGGAAUGCAGACCCACUAGUUGUGAGAGCUUUCCCUCCCAACUAUGGUAGUGGGCACCACACUGGCAUUUAGCAGCAUGAAGCUGCCUUCUGAGGAUGCAGCUCCCAUGUAUGCCAUCUUGGACUUCAAGCACACUUUUUUUAGUUUUGCUCCUGUCCAUUUUGUUCCCAGUCACUGGAGAGAUAAAAGGGGGAACUGAAGCUGAAAAAUAAGUAUCAAAAUUGUGAAGCUUGGUAUUCAGCAAGGCUGAAUGAGGUGGUUGACAUUCUCUUCAUUUUGUGGUGUGACAAUUUUGCAUUACUGUCCAGAACAUGGCUUAUCUUUCUUAUCAGCGUUACCACUGCUGAAAUGCACCACCUGCCACCUCACUGUGCUCUCACCCACUGUUUGGUCUCCAUAAACAUUCUGCAAACGUCACUGAAUGUCAAUAGGCACUCCAUCUUCCCAGUGGAGGAGUUCAGCGACACACCUUUGCUUCAGAUGCACUUGCACGUCGGAUGCCAUUGUAUCAGACUGUCCUGCUGCCAUCUGCUGCAUGACAACAAUAUGUGAUGGGAUAUUGGCAGGAAAUUUCACCCUCUACUGCCAUACUACCAACAUCUGCCUCUGACAUCAUGGGCCAACAUAAUAAAACAUGUAGCAUUACUUUUAGAGCUGACCAUGUUUUUCCAGCCUAUUGUAUUUGAUGCUUUUAUCUUUUUGGUGAUGUGGGAAGAAAGGCUGAGGUUGCAGUGGAGAAGAAAUGAAUGAAUAAAUGCUACUUUCCCCUCUGCUAAAAUGCAGCGUAGAGAGCUGCAUGUAAAAAAGCAUGUAAAAUGGUAUCACAUAAUGGUAUCACAUUGCUAUCCCUUCCUGAGCUUUAUUCUGACUUGUCAAGAAAAGUUUCUGUACUAUGACAGGUAAAUUUGUCUUUAUUUUCUUAUUUAGAAACAUCUGUUACAUCUCAUGACUUCCACAUGCAUCAUGGUCAUACACUGUAUUCAUAAUUUAAGAUAAAAAAUGAUAAAGUAAAAACUACUUAUUAGAGUUGGUAAUCUAAUCAAUAGGAGAAUAGCUGCUAGUAGUGGAAUAAUCUAGUUAUUUAGAUAAUACUCAGUGAAUGAAAGUUGUUCAUUACUAGAUAGUUAAAAGGUAUGAAUUAUUUGUAGAAAGAACUGAAGACUGUAGUCUAUCCAAAAGAAUUAUAUUCAAGGAGAGGAAAAAUGAACACAACUUGAUCUCUUGUCUAGGGAAUCAUAUAUCUUGAUAAAUAAGAAAAGGUGUGUGUAAAUAAAUAUUCACACAUAUAUUUUCUUAUUCUUUACCUAACAAUUUUGUUGAUAUCUUUUAAAUAGCAGCUACUUGAAAAAAAAAAAAGCAUAAAAAUAAAUAAAAAGCAUUAAAAAAGUAAUAAAAAGCAUAAAAAAGCAGAAAUGUGGUAAUUAAAAUCAAGUUAUCCUUAUACUAAACCUUUAUUGCUCUCUAGAGAAUGAUGUCUGUAAGGUAUGCACUAGAAAAUAAAGGAUUAUGAUGUUAAAAAAAAAAAAAAAAA
This 1678-nucleotide long non-coding RNA is filed under the name Gallus gallus (chicken). The record is from RNAcentral. Lineage: Eukaryota; Metazoa; Chordata; Aves; Galliformes; Phasianidae.